RNAcentral lists this ribosomal RNA (427 nucleotides) under uncultured bacterium. RNAcentral's name for it is "partial 16S ribosomal RNA". It matches the Rfam family "Bacterial small subunit ribosomal RNA", at positions 355 to 774 of the family's 1533-position model. The record is from RNAcentral.
UGGGGAAUAUUGCACAAUGGGCGCAAGCCUGAUGCAGCCAUGCCGCGUGUAUGAAGAAGGCCUUCGGGUUGUAAAGUACUUUCAGCGAGGAGGAAGGCGUUGUGGUUAAUAACCGCAACGAUUGACGUUACUCGCAGCAGAAGCACCGGCUAACUCCGUGCCAGCAGCCGCGGUAAUACGGAGGGUGCAAGCGUUAAUCGGACUUACUGGGCGUAAAGCGCACGCAGGCGGUCUGUCAAGUCGGAUGUGAAAUCCCCGGGCUCAACCUGGGAACUGUAUCCGAAACUGGCAGGCUAGAGUCUUGUAGAGGGGGGUAGAAUUCCAGGUGUAGCGGUGAAAUGCGUAGAGAUCUGGAGGAAUACCGGUGGCGAAGGCGGCCCCCUGGACAAAGACUGACGCUCAGGUGCGAAAGCGUGGGGAGCAAACA